This 449-nucleotide ribosomal RNA is filed under the name uncultured bacterium. Its description in RNAcentral is "bacterial SSU rRNA". It matches the Rfam family "Bacterial small subunit ribosomal RNA", at positions 329 to 792 of the family's 1533-position model. The record is from RNAcentral.
UGCCAGACUCCUACGGGAGGCAGCAGUGGGGAAUAUUGCACAAUGGGCGAAAGCCUGAUGCAGCAACGCCGCGUGAAGGAAGAAGGGUUUCGGCUCGUAAACUUCUAUCAACAGGGACGAAAGAAAUGACGGUACCUGAAUAAGAAGCCCCGGCUAACUACGUGCCAGCAGCCGCGGUAAUACGUAGGGGGCAAGCGUUAUCCGGAUUUACUGGGUGUAAAGGGAGUGUAGACGGCCAGACAAGUCUGAAGUGAAAAUCCAGCGCUUAACGUUGGAAGUGCUUUGGAAACUGCCGGGCUAGAGUGCAGGAGGGGCAGGCGGAAUUCCUAGUGUAGCGGUGAAAUGCGUAGAUAUUAGGAGGAACACCAGUGGCGAAGGCGGCCUGCUGGACUGCAACUGACGUUGAGGCUCGAAGGCGUGGGGAGCAAACAGGAUUAGAUACCCGAGUA